RNAcentral lists this ribosomal RNA (253 nucleotides) under uncultured bacterium. Its description in RNAcentral is "partial 16S ribosomal RNA". It matches the Rfam family "Bacterial small subunit ribosomal RNA", at positions 524 to 776 of the family's 1533-position model. The record is from RNAcentral.
UACAGAGGUCCCGAGCGUUGUUCGGAUUCAUUGGGCGUAAAGGGUGCGUAGGCGGUCUGCUAAGUUUGGUGUGAAAUCCCGGGGCUCAACCCUGGAAUGGCAUUGAAUACUGGCGGACUAGAGUACCGGAGAGGAAACUGGAAUUUACGGUGUAGCAGUGAAAUGCGUAGAGAUCGUAAGGAAGACCAGUGGCGAAGGCGAGUUUCUGGACGGUAACUGACGCUGAGGCACGAAGGCCAGGGGAGCAAACGGG